This 244-nucleotide ribosomal RNA is filed under the name uncultured Staphylococcus sp. Its description in RNAcentral is "partial 16S ribosomal RNA". It matches the Rfam family "Bacterial small subunit ribosomal RNA", at positions 96 to 334 of the family's 1533-position model. The record is from RNAcentral. Lineage: Bacteria; Bacillati; Bacillota; Bacilli; Caryophanales; Staphylococcaceae.
CGGCGGACGGGUGAGUAACACGUGGAUAACCUACCUAUAAGACUGGGAUAACUUCGGGAAACCGGAGCUAAUACCGAAUAAUAUAUUGAACCGCAUGGUUCAAUAGUGAAAGACGGUUUUGCUGUCACUUAUAGAUGGAUCCGCGCCGCAUUAGCUAGUUGGUAGGGUAACGGCUUACCAAGGCGACGAUGCGUAGCCGACCUGAGAGGGUGAUCGGCCACACUGGAACUGAGACACGGUCCAG